Molecule: ribosomal RNA, 449 nt
Filed under: uncultured organism
Description: partial 16S ribosomal RNA
Rfam family: Bacterial small subunit ribosomal RNA
Source: RNAcentral
ACUCCUACGGGAGGCAGCAGUGGGGAAUAUUGGACAAUGGGCGCAAGCCUGAUCCAGCCAUGCCGCGUGAGUGAUGAAGGCCCUAGGGUUGUAAAGCUCUUUCACCGGUGAAGAUAAUGACGGUAACCGGAGAAGAAGCCCCGGCUAACUUCGUGCCAGCAGCCGCGGUAAUACGAAGGGGGCUAGCGUUGUUCGGAUUUACUGGGCGUAAAGCGCACGUAGGCGGACUAUUAAGUCAGGGGUGAAAUCCCGGGGCUCAACCCCGGAACUGCCUUUGAUACUGGUAGUCUUGAGUUCGAGAGAGGUGAGUGGAAUUCCGAGUGUAGAGGUGAAAUUCGUAGAUAUCCGGAGGAACACCAGUGGCGAAGGCGGCUCACUGGCUCGAUACUGACGCUGAGGUGCGAAAGCGUGGGGAGCAAACAGGAUUAGAAACCCUUGUAGUCCCAUGA